CUAGAACUGAUUAACAAAGGACUAAGUCCCAUUGGUUACUCAACAUGAGGCAAGUUCACAGCCAAGUCCUCACCUUAGUUUUUUGCAGAAGUAGAUCUGGAUCUAGGUUUGGGGAACAGUCACUUCUCGAGAUCUGAUUUGAGAAUCGGAUUCACACAAGAGAGAGAUGGGUUUAGAAUCUGUCAUUUUCCAAUGACUUAGAGCUAGAGAUCUUAGUUUUACCUUUAGGGUUCAGAUCUCAGUUGCUUGCACGAAACUGAAUCAAGGAGGCGGCGGCUAGGAGCUCGGUUGCGGCGGCUAGGGUUCGCGGGCGGCUGGCGGCUGGCUUCGCCGGAGAUGGAGCGGCGGCGGCUUGAGGCGGAGGCGGCGGCGGGGUUCUGCUCAGGCAGGGCUUCGCUUGCUGUCUCUCUUGUGGCUGAACCCUAGGGAAACUUCUCCUUUUAUAAGCAAUGGGAGGGGUUAUGUCUAGGGUUUCUUCUCCUUGGACCUCCUGCACUUGAGUUUCCUUUUGGGGCGGGCCCGGGAUGUUACAGUUACAAUUAAGUGUUCAGCGAGAAGAAGCAAUUACACAAGACACAUGCAAACAGCAGUUUCUGAUCAGAUUUUCUCACGUAUAGCACAAGCAACAACUUCAAAGGAGCCGUGGGAUUCAUUGAAAUCUGAGUAUCAGGGGACUCCACAGGUACGAUUGAUCAAGUUACAAUCGAUAAGGAGAGAGUACGAAAAUAUGAGAAUGAAUGACAGAGAUAACAUCAAAGCAUUCACGGACAAGUUAAUCGAUUUGGGAAAUCGGUUGAGAGUUCACGGAGAAGAAAAGACAGACUAUCAGAUUGUCCAGAAGAUUCUCAUAUCUCUUCCAGAAAAGUUCGAUAGCAUUGUGGCAGUAUUGGAGCAAACGAAACGCGUGUGGGUACUCUGGAAGCACACGAAACGCGUGUGGCUGCCCGAGAUGAUAAUAUGACAGAAGGGGCAUUCAAUGUUAGAACAAGAGGAGGAAAGGUUGGUUUCAAACGAGAAAACAACAUAAGCCGUACGCAUGAAGGCAAAGGCAAAAAGUGGUGUAGAUUCUGCAAAAAGAAUAAUCACACAAAAUCUUAUUGUUGGAAGAAAGCUAAGAAGCGUGAUAAAGGCAGAAGUCUAAGAAAUAGGGAAUGUUACAAUUGUGGCAAAAUCGGCCACUUCUCUAGAGAAUGUAACUCUACGAGGUAUGAAAGGGCGCAUAUGACCAUUGAAGAUGAAGAUGUGGAAGAACACAUGAUGUUUAGUGCAAUCGAAGAAGCACAUACGACAAGAAGAGAAGAUGUUUGGUUAGUUGACAGUGGGUGUACGUACUAACCAUAUGACGAAAGAAGCAAGAUAUUUCACAAGACUUGAUAGCAGUAUCAGUGUUCCAAUAAGAGUUGGGAAUGGUGAAGUUGUUAUGACAGCAGGAAAAGGUGACAUCACUGUCAUGACAAACAAAGGGAAAAGAACCAUAAAGGAUGUGUUUCUGGUACCCGGUUUGGAGAAGAAUGUGAUGAAGAAAGGAGAAGACAUUCUGAUUGUGAGUUUGUACGUGGAUGAUAUCAUCAUCACUGGAAACAACUCUCAUCUCAUCGACAAAUUCAAGACUGAUAUGAAGAAGGAGUUCGAGAUGACAGAUUUGGGGUUACUCAAUUAUUUUCUUGGAAUGGAAAUAAUUCAAGAUGAACAUGAUUUGGGGUUACUCAGAUCUCCACCGUACCAUCAAACACUCCUCGCCUACCAGAAGCAACUACUGUGAAGUUUCAUAUAUGUUUCCUAGAAUACAUGUAAACCAAAGUUGACUACACCAUCUGUUAUUGACAAUUCACCUGAAAGUAAAAAAGCUUUCAUCUUCAAACCGAGCUUACGGCACAUAAAUGUCUCUUCAUCAAGUUUAUUAGUGGAUUCUGUAUUUGGGACAAUCAAAGCCCAUGAUCCUCUUAAACGUGCCUGUACUUAGAGAUGGCAAUGUUGGACUUGGACCGCGGGCUUGGCCCGCAAAAUCUUGUAGGCGGGGCGAUGUUGGACCUUGUAUAUGUAGUCCCAUAAAAUUGCGGGACUCGCAGGACAGAUUGUUGCAGUAUUGAGCUUCAGCAGAAUGGGCCCAAGCGGUUCAUGCGAGAGAAGAAAGACCCACAACUCUUAUUGCUUCACUUCAGUUUCACCUGAAAAAAACGUGCGAGAGAGAGAUAAUGAAAAGGUGAUUCAGUUCUACUUCCACCGACAAAACUGUAGGACCUCCAGCGAUGAAGAGUCGAGCUCUGACGGUUGUUCUGGUCUUCACGUCGCCUCUACCUGCAGCAGCUAAGCUUCACGUCGUGAGCGAUGAGCUGUGUUGAUGGCCACUUCAACCGAUAGAUGCUUGUAGCUCCGGAGACGAUGUGACCUCUGAGGGUUCUUCCUUGCUCCCCUUCGUCCUGGAUCUACAUGCAUGCAACGAAACUCACAGACUCAAGUGUAGAUCGACCAUGAAUGUAGUCUAUGACCAACAAGACCAAAUAGAUCUAUGUUUAAUGAUUGUGUCAGACCGUUAGAUCGAUGCAGUAGAAGACCGUAGGCCGACCUGCAAAGGCCUACAUAUAUUGCGGGGCGGGUUUGGUCUUCCAUUUCGGAGACUGUAUCCCGCGCGGGCCUGACCCGCUGGGAUCCACUUGAAGAAGAACCCGCUACAAUACUGGAUGGAACAACAUGUUUGUCAUCUCUACCUGUACUCUUCUAAUAGAAAACACAAGAUUUAUUUAUAUGCAUGAGCUGUGUUUUUUCUAAGACUGUGGAACUCAGUGGACGUAGUCAAGCUUGUUGUAGUCUAGUGGUAUAUUGUUUUGGGGAAAAGGUUAUGUAUCCUCUCUUGAUCCACCAAAUCUACUUCUCGUGCAAAAAAAAAUAUUUCCACAGUAGAAAA
Long non-coding RNA from Brassica napus (rape), 2905 nucleotides. RefSeq lists it as uncharacterized. The record is from RefSeq and is a predicted model, not a curated record. The transcript has 2 exons. NCBI's taxonomy places the organism in Eukaryota, Viridiplantae, Streptophyta, Magnoliopsida, Brassicales, Brassicaceae.